RNAcentral lists this ribosomal RNA (267 nucleotides) under uncultured bacterium. RNAcentral describes it as "partial 16S ribosomal RNA". It matches the Rfam family "Bacterial small subunit ribosomal RNA", at positions 28 to 292 of the family's 1533-position model. The record is from RNAcentral.
GAUUAACGCUAGCGGCAGGCCUAAUACAUGCAAGUUGUACGGGAUUAUUGGUAGCAAUACUGAUAUGAGAGUAGCGCACGGGUGCGUAACACGUAUGCAACCUACCUUUAACUGGGGAAUAGCCUUCCGAAAGGAAGAUUAAUACCGCAUAACAUUGCGAAACGACAUCGUUUUGCAAUUAAACCUACGGGGGUUAGAGAUGGGCAUGCGUCCGAUUAGCUAGUUGGCGGGGUAANAGCCCACCAAGGCAACGAUCGGUAGGGGGUC